UACGUAGGGUGCAAGCGUUAAUCGGAAUUACUGGGCGUAAAGCGUACGCAGGCGGCUAUGUAAGACAGGUGUGAAAUCCCCGGGCCUAACCCGGGAACUGCAUUUGUGACUGCAUAGCUAGAGUCCGUCAGAGGGGGGUGGAAUUCCACGUGUAGCAGUGAAAUGCGUAGAGAUGUGGAGGAACACCGAUGGCGAAGGCAGCCCCCUGGGAUGAGACUGACGCUCAUGUACGAAAGCGUGGGGAGCAAACAGG
Molecule: ribosomal RNA, 253 nt
Filed under: uncultured bacterium
Lineage: Bacteria
Description: partial 16S ribosomal RNA
Rfam family: Bacterial small subunit ribosomal RNA
Source: RNAcentral